CCCUUAGAUGUUCUGGGCUGCACGCGCGCUACACUGAUGCACUCAACGAGUUUACGACCUUGCCCGAUAGGGUUGGGUAAUCUUUUUAAAAUGCAUCGUGAUAGGGAUAGAUUAUUGCAAUUAUUAAUCUUCAACGAGGAAUUCCUAGUAAGCGCAAGUCAUCAGCUUGCGUUGAUUACGUCCCUGCCCUUUGUACACACCGCCCGUCGCUACUACCGAUUGGAUGGCUUAGUGAGACCCUCGGACCGAUAGGCUGUCGCUGCAGCAAUGUGGCGACUGGCCCGUCUGGGAAGAAGGUCAAACUUGACUGUCUAGAGGAAGUAAAAGUCGUAACA
This 335-nucleotide ribosomal RNA is filed under the name uncultured eukaryote. RNAcentral's name for it is "partial 18S ribosomal RNA". It matches the Rfam family "Eukaryotic small subunit ribosomal RNA", at positions 1470 to 1796 of the family's 1831-position model. The record is from RNAcentral.